GCUAUCAAAUGAAAAUCCAUUAGGGUUUAGGCUUUUCCCUGUAUAUAAAUUUCAACUCUCCACUUCAUAUCUCUUUCCGUACUUCGGCAUCUUCCCCUUUCCCUCCAACUUUAAUCUACCACAACUGUAACGACGCCAUGGUUCACGUCAGUUUCUACCGUAACUAUGGGAAGACCUUUAAGAAGCCAAGGCGUCCAUAUGAGAAAGAACGAUUAGAUGCAGAGUUGAGGCUUGUAGGAGAGUAUGGGCUCCGAUGUAAGAGGGAGUUGUGGAGGGUUCAGUAUGCUUUGAGCCGUAUCCGUAAUGCUGCUAGGGACCUUCUCACCCUUGAUGAGAAGAACCCUCGUCGUAUUUUUGAAGGUGAAGCUCUUCUUCGUAGGAUGAACAGGUAUGGACUUUUGGAUGAGAGCCAGAACAAGCUUGAUUAUGUCUUGGCUUUGACUGUCGAGAACUUCCUUGAACGCCGCUUGCAAACACUUGUGUUCAAGACUGGUAUGGCCAAGUCUAUUCACCAUGCCCGUGUCUUGAUUAGGCAAAGGCAUAUCAGGGUCGGGAGGCAGGUUGUCAACAUCCCAUCCUUCAUGGUAAGGGUUGACUCGCAAAAACAUAUCGAUUUCUCUCUCACUAGUCCGUUUGGAGGUGGCCGACCUGGAAGAGUGAAGAGAAAGAACCAAAGAGCAGCUGCCAAAAAGGCUGCUGGCAGAGAUGGCGAUGAAGAGGAAGAUGAGUAAAACCUUAGAGGGCUACUACCACCCUUAGUUACCCUUAAAUAGUUUUGGAGCUUGCCAUUUCCUUCUCCCCAUUAUUAGAUAUGGCAAAAGCAACAGAUCAAAGAAAUACUAGUGCCAAUCUGCAGCUGACGAAUAAUUGAACUUGAAAAUUAAAUCACUUUUUUGAGUUUGGCAACUAUUAUCAUUUUGUCCAAGUUAAGCAUUAGAUUUGGCAAUUAUUUCUAUAUUGGGAUCUAAAUUUUUCUUGUCCAGUUAUGCUUAGAACGUGGCAAUUAUUCUCAUAUUGAGGCUUUAACUUUUUUUAUCCAAGUUGGUAUUUGAAUUUUCUUGAAAACCUUAAAAUUCAGGUCCUAAUGUGAGAAUAAUUGUCAAGUUUUACCACCAAUAUAGAAAUAAUUGUCUAGUUCAGAAACUAGUUUAGACAAAAAAAAGUUCAAGUUCUAAUGUGGAACAAUUGCUUAGUUUAGGUCCUUAUGUUGGACAAUUGCUAAGUUAGGUUAGGGUCUAACUAGGAUAAAAACAGUUUAGGCUCCAAUGUAAAAAUAAUUGUUCAGAUUUCAAAUAAUGAUUUAUUACAUUAAAGAAAACUUGAUAGAGCUUUUUGAGUA
This is an RNA transcript of Gossypium raimondii (Peruvian cotton), 1339 nucleotides long. It is a transcript of the gene named 40S ribosomal protein S9-2, with no coding region annotated. Lineage: Eukaryota; Viridiplantae; Streptophyta; Magnoliopsida; Malvales; Malvaceae. The transcript is spliced from 4 exons. The record is from RefSeq and is a predicted model, not a curated record.